Molecule: unclassified non-coding RNA, 309 nt
Filed under: Hevea brasiliensis (rubber tree)
Lineage: Eukaryota; Viridiplantae; Streptophyta; Magnoliopsida; Malpighiales; Euphorbiaceae
Source: RNAcentral
GGAGCACCAAAGGAAAUUAAGAUUGGUUACCACCAAGAGUUUGAAGGCUCCCGCUGCUUUAUGGUGGUUCGUUCAGAUGACACAGUUGAAGACUUCUCAUAUCGCAAGUGUAUGCAACAUGCUCUGGAACUGAUUGCUCCUCAGAAGGCAAAAACCUCUAGAUGGUUGAAUGGAGCAUCAGCCUAAGUUGCUGUUUUGGUUCACUUGGUUACGGUUAUGGUACGCGUAAUAAAUAUGGUGUGUGUUUUGUAUCUGUGGCACGAAUAUGUGCAAUUUUCGAACACCUGUUAGACAAUUGAUGUACUCAUG